Molecule: long non-coding RNA, 2082 nt
Organism: Wyeomyia smithii (pitcher-plant mosquito)
Lineage: Eukaryota; Metazoa; Arthropoda; Insecta; Diptera; Culicidae
Exons: 3
Source: RefSeq, a predicted model, not a curated record
GAUCAUUGAUGCACGAGUGAAGUAGAAAAAAGCAAGUACUACCGUUUUCCAAUUGGAAACGGUUAACUGUCCCACUGCUAUAUUCUCGACUAAAUUGUUUUCCUCUCUUUCACACUUGGUGAUCGUGUGGAAACGUGGCAUCAAAGUAUGAGUAUUGGCAGAAGUUGAUAUGAUUUAUUCCAUUAUUUGUAGGAACCGAAGAAGUGUUCGUGAUUCUGAUUUCGCAACGGUUGCUGUCUGCAAUGGUGAAUAAUUUUAAUAUUUUGUCAUCAGAUUUUGGUACAGGUGUUUUUGAGCAGAUUAUGUGAACUGCUGUUGUAUAAGAAAGAUGACAGGCAAUUUGAUUGUAUCCGUUCUCGUUAGAAUGUGAUACUGUUUUCUUAACGUCUUAAAAUUUAUCUACCUUUUAGUCGGUCCCAAUAGAUUUCAUUAAGUUAGAUAUAUUCUCUAAAUUUGCCAUUUAUAGGAUUUGAAUAAGCGAUAACGACCACGUAGUGAUCUACAAUAUUUCAAUAAGCUAAGUGAAACUGUGACAUCAAAAUUUGAAACAGUGCAUCUUUAGUAGAAUGAAUACGUACCUAAUGCAUAAAUCACAGUAGCAGCUAAAAUCAUGACCUAAAUCCAAGCAACCGUCAAUCGCAAGCAGCAACAACUGGAGCGUUGCAUAUUUAUAACUACAAUUGAUGUUUACCCGUGUCCAACAUACCGCUAUAAUCGUCAGAACACAAGCGAUUGGUUGAACUUGACACUCGGUGCUGUUUUCUGCGAACCCUUCCUAAUCAAUUCAUUAUCAUCUCCCGAGAGCAGUGAUUAGUCAUUACUCUUGUAAAUGUUCGCUAAUCGAAUUAAGACAAGUUAAAGCGAAAUACAUAAUUACAAUGUUAGGAAAAUAUAUUGCGAACAACUGACACACGUUCAAGUACAAGAGUAUGUCGUAUGCGACGCUGUCGGAAGUUCGAUUAGCAUGAAGAAAAAGAACAAGAAACCCGCCUACUGUUAGUUUAAAGCUCGUGCCACGGGACGACGAUUGAUCACUGCAUUCGUGUGCAAUACUAUGAGCUAAGCAAACCGGCAAUCAUAGUUUACUGCGGUGCUGACUUCAUCUUUUUGUAGAUUGAUACUAGCAAGGUUAUCAUCGCUAUGCGUGAUACAGUAAGUGAUUAUUUUUGAAUCUUUUUUUCAGAAAAAUGGUUAGAACCGUACACCCUACAGUAAGCUCAACAAAACUAGAGAUGUUUCGGAAUUUUACGUAAUAAAUAUAUCAGCAUAAUCAGAUUCUCACCCCUUGAAACGGGUGUUUCUAAAAACAGGAGAGCACUGUACAUGUUAAAGUGCUAUAAUAUAUAAUGAAUAAACAUAUACAGUCCAUUACCUCUUACUAUAUAGUUUGCAAUUUUGGAACAAUAUUUAUCUUUUAGAGGAAAGCUAUCGAUUACAUUUAUAAAACGAACAAAGCGGCGCACAAGAACGUCUGCACCGGAACUUUAAUGUCUCACCAAGCCGAUGGUUAUGUCGUAAAACUUGGUCAACGACUAUCAAGUAGCAAAACGGGAUUAGAAAAACAGUGAUUUGACGCGCCCACGCUCACGAAUAUGAGUAGCACUGGAAUUCACCUCAGUGUAGACAAAGCCACAGACACAGUUUGUACUGCUCCCAUAGUGUACAGGACGAUUGCGAGGCUAGCGCCACGAUGCUAUUGACUCUAACGGUCUCUCCCAGCCGAGAAUCCAACAUGCGACGACUGGUUUGUUAGGCUAGCAUCGUACCUCGAGACCAACUGGAAGUGGUUAUCGGAUGUUAUUUGACAAGCGCGUGCAAUAAUCUAAGACAUUAUCUAAGACUGGUGGAAAUAUUUAUAACGCCACCAUCUAUAUGUGUCUGACUUCAACAUUAUUUAAAAUAACUGUUAACCAGGUUAACACUUGCGUACCCGACCCCUCCGGAGCCGAAAAAAUGAGAAUUCUUUUACCUGCCAUUUUGCAAGAUCUGAACCGAUUUUGAUCGAACCUUUUUCGAAAGAUCACAAAUUUAUCAUAGUUUUUAAAACAGCAAGGGACAUUUCGAAAUUUUUCGAAAGUACCC